UCCUAGAGUGAAAAGAUGAAGGAAGAAGGAGCAGGAGUUAGAAUGCAAGUCUCUUAGGACAAAUGACUUCAUAUUAUGAGGAGGGAAUUAAGGGAAAGGGAAGUGACUUGUCCACAGUCACGCAACACAGUAGGAGCAGAGUCCAGGAGAAGUCCUGGUGCCUUGAAUCCCAGGACCCUCAUGUAGUGAGCCGUCACACAUCUGAGUAGGCAAAGAGGUCUUGGAGAAGGAUGUGGACAUUUCUAAGAGUCCCUGGGAUCACUCACCUUAUGGCAGAUGCACAGCUUGCAGGCCCAGGUGACACCAUUACCCCAGACAUGUGCCUGAUAUUUGACCCUGGGCCUCAUAACAUCAUUGCAACAGGUUCCUGGGCCCAAGGGGGCCAAGUGACUCAAGGACACUAUUACAGGCUAAACUGCAUGCUCCCCAAAUUAAUACACUGAACCCUUGACCCGCCUCCCCCCUCACUCCAGUACUUCAGAAUCAGUAUUUAGAGAAAGGGGCCUUUAACGAGGUUGUUGAGUUAAAAUGAGGCCCUUAGAAUGGUCCCUAAUGCAAUGUGACUGGUGUCCUUCUAAGAAGAGAAAAUCUGGACAUACAAAGAGACACCAGGGAUGGGUGCACAGAGGAAUGGCCACAUGAAGGCACAGCAAGAAGGUGGUCAUCUGCAAGCCAAGGAGAGAGGCCUCAGCAAAAACCAAGCCUACCAACAUCUUGAUCUUGGACUUCUAGCUUCCAGAGCUAUAAGAAAAUAAAUUUCUCUAUUUAAACUACCCUCUCUGUGGUAUUUUGUUAUAGCAGUUCCAGCAAAGUUAAGACACCAAGUGCUAUGGAGAGCAGUUACAAGUGAGUGACAAUCAACACAAAGAGAAAGCAAAGGAAUAAGGAGGGGUGAGGUGAGGGAACUGAGGGUGAAAAUGGGGCAGGGCAAAACUAAAUAUAGAACUACUGUGCAAUCCAGCAAUCCCUCUCCUGGGAAUAUAUCUGGACAAAACUAUAAUUCAAAAAAAAAAAAAACACUCUAUAAUUCAUGCACCCCUAUAUGUUCAUAGCAGCACUAUUCACAAGAGCCAAAAACAUGGAGACAACCUAAGUGUCCAUCAGAAGAUGUGGUACACAUAUACACUGGAAUACUACUCAGCCAUAAAAAAAAAUAAUGCCAUUUGCGACAAGAUGGAUGCAACUAGAGAUUCCUAUACUAAGUGAAGUAAGUCAGAAAGACAAAUACCAUAUGAUAUCACUUAAGUGGAAUCUAAAAUAUGGCACAAAUGAACUGAGCUACAAAACAGAAACAGACUCACAGACAUAGAGAACAGACGUGUGGUUGCCAAGGAGGGGGCAGGCAGAGGGAAUGGGAUGAACGGGGAGUUUGGAAUUGGCAAGUGCAAACUAUUACAUUUAGAAUGGAUAAGUAAUGAGGUCCUACUGUACAGCACAGUGAACUCUAUCCAAUCACUUGGGAUAGAACAUGAUGGAAGAUAUUAUGAGAAAAAUGUAUAUAAAUGUAUGAUUGAGUUGAUAUGCUGUAUGGGAGAAACUGACACAACACUUAAAUCAACCACACUUUAAUAAAGAUAAAAUAAUACAAAAAAGAAACAAAAUAGGGCGGGGAAGGGGGAGGAGUUUGAAUGUGGCCAGAGUGGAGAUAGUCAAGCCAGAAAACCCAUUUUCUAUAGUAAUCAUCCAGUUUGUCUGAAUAUCUUAAAAUUUGAUUUUCAGCAAUGAGGUAUGUGCAUAUGGUCACAAAAUUAAAUAGUUCAGAGAACUUAUAAUAAUAGCAACUGCCUUCUCCCUAAAUAUCCACCCCCACCCCCCAACCCCAUCCUGUUCCCCAGAGACCAACCUUUUUUAUACUGUUUUUACUUUUAGCCCUGGAUAACAUUUACUGACUGCUUGCCAUGUGCCAAGCCCUGUGCUAAACCUUUUAUGUACGUUGUUUCUGUGGAUGCUCACCACAACCCCGUGAGGUAGGUACCAUCAUUAACAUUUUACAGGUAGGAGAACUAAGAUGUAGAGAAGUUAAGUGAUACAACCAAGGUCACACAGUAGGUAAGCAAUAGAAGUGAAAUUUCAUCUCACGACAUUGGACUCCAACACUUGACUGCUCUGAGUCAUCCUCUGGUGGUUCCUGUUAAAGCUUUAUUCCCUGGGCUCCUUGAUUUAUCAACUCUACACAGUAUCUAUUGACUUCUUAGUAUGACUGAUGAGGAUUUACCUCACCCCUUUGCCUUUUGCCUGCAAAUCCUAGACAGACACAUUGCAAUAUUUAGUUCUGCUGUGGGUACCUUUGGGGCUUUAAAUAACACUCAUUAACUUCAAUCCCUUGUUUCUACUCUACAAACAUUUAUUGAUGGACUUGUGGGGUCACUUGCAAGUUGGGUGAUGGAAAAGCCAAUCCAAAUUUUCUUCUUAUCCUUUCCCAUUUCCCUUAGCACCCAGCAGGUGCUUAAUGAAUAUUUAUGAAUAGAGUCAAAGCAGAGAAAUUUAGCACCAAAGGCGGGAGAUGACCAGGAAAUCUCAGUUAGGGGAAGGACAUGAUAACUGCAGCCUGAGAUGUCAGCCUGACUUCUUUGGAGACACAGCCUCCUGCUGAGGAGGGAACAAGGAGCUAUAAAAUGGAAAUUGAAGAAGAAUCGCUUCAGAGCAGCUGUCAGGAAGCACUUCCCAGUGGAGAUCGCGAUGACCUCCUUGCUGCAAGGUUGUCUCCGCUCACACACCUGGUUCUAUUCUGCCAGCUUGUGCGAAGCCACCACGGCACUCACACAGGCCUCUGGCCAUCUGCCCCUCAUGGGAAGCAUGAGGUGUUCUGCUAGUACCAGCUCCACGGUGGGCUUUCUGAAAAGGGAUACAUCCUGGGGAGGCUUCUCCCACAGACUGCAGAAUCUGGGCAUACCUGUGAAGAGCCCAACAGGUGAAGAAAAGGCCACCUGCCCUAAGGCCUUUGAUGCUCACCUUCUGACUGUAGCACCCUCCCUUUUAGCCUAGCUAUNUUUUUUUUUUUUUUUUUUUUUUUGUCUUUUUAGGGCCAUACCCACAGCAUAUGGAAGUUCCCAGAAAAGGGGCCAGCAGCUGCCGGCCUUCACACAGUCACAGCAACACUCACGGCAACACCAGAUCUUUUACCCGCUGAGCAGGGCCAUGUCCUCAUGGAUACCAGUUGGGUUUGUUAUUGCUGAGCCACAAAGGGAACUGUGAGCCUAGCUAGUUUUUAUACUUGGUACCUUGGGCAGAGGACAUAUCAUAGGGAAGACUCCCAGAUGCUCUAGGCUGGGACACAUCCCUUAUGACACAUUCUGUAAGUACUUUCCCUCCAUAGCACUUAGCACAGCUGUAAUUUUACUUUUACUAGAGUCAUUUCUUACAUAAAAUCAGCCUCGCCCACUGGAUGGGGACCAUCUCUGCUUACUAUUGUAUUCCCAGCACCUAGCAGGUACUCAGUAAGCAAUCUUGAAUGAAUGUGUCUUCAUUAAAUCCCUUAAAUCAAAUGGUUCUUUUAUGGAACUCCUCAAAAUCCCGCAUCUCUUUUGCACCUAGAAAGAGAGGAUGGAGCUUUCAGGUUAUAACCGUGCUAGUCCAGAAUUGUGAUUUGCCUUCAGAAAACGCAGUGACUCUCAGAUGACUCACACGGACUGAGGGACGUCUCCCCUCCCCCAACACACACGCAGGAUUCCUCCUCUCCAUCACGCCUGCCCUCCUCUGUCAAUCUGUCACCAAGCCUGGUCUCUUCACCUCCUACCUCAGUGAUUCUCAGCCCUGGCUGCGGCUGACUGGCCAGGGAACCUUGUUAAACAUACAAUGCUUGAGUUUCUUUCUUUUCUUCCUUCCUUCCUCCCUCCGCUCCUUCCUUCCUUCUUCUUCUUCUUUUUUUUUUUUUUUUUUUUUUUUUUUUUUUUUUUGCCUUUUAGGACCGCCCCUGCGGCAUAUGGAAGUUCCCAGACUCAGGGUCUAAUCAGAGCUAUAGCCACUAGCCUAUGCCACAGCCACAGCAAUGCCAGAUCUGAGCUGCAUCUGCAACCUACACCACAGCUCAUGGCAAUGCUAGAUCCUUAACCCACCGAGCGAGGCCAGGGAUACUGGUUGGGUUCAUUUCUGCUGAGCCAUGACGGGAACCCCAAUGCUUGAGUUUCUGACUCAAGGACAGCAGUCUCCUCACUGGCCUCUUGGGGCUCCAGGCCUGGGGUCCCCAAUCCAUUCACGGUGAAGCAGCCUGCCAGAGAGAUCUUUCCAGCGGGAAAGCCUAGUCAUGCUACGCUUCUCCUUAAAACUUCCCCCUGCAUCCCACUGUCUUCAGGACAAACCCCCGCCUUUUGGAGAGCCUCCCAAAGCCCUGCUCAUUUCCCCAGGCUCACACCAUGUUGGUCCUUAUUCACCUCACUCACACUCUGCUCUAACAUACGGGACAUCCUAAGGGCCAGAACAGACUGGGCCACGUUCUUUCAUUCCUCGGAGUCUCUACACAACUGUUGCCCUGUCCAGUGUUAAAGAAAAAUUUAUUCUGACACUUGUUAAACUGGUACAGAAGACUUUAUUCAGGAUUCCUGCAGUAGGGGUAUUGCAACGGGAGUGAGAGCUGAGCUCCACUUAGGAUGCAAUAGAUAGCUGGGAAUUUAGACAAUAAACAGAGUGAAGGGUUCGAGAGAUGGAAAAUUACUAAGAGAAGGCUCCAAGGGUGGGGGGAUUCUUGCUAAACUGGCCUAGCAGAAUUCCCCCUAAAGUUAGGCUACCAGCUUAGACAUCAAGGGUGAGGGAUGAGGAAUUUGAUCAAAUCUCAAGGGUGAGGGGGUGACUUAGCAGGAUUCUUGGCUAAGACUGGGUUGGGUGGACCAAAGAUAGAAUGGGGGCCAAGGUCAUGGCCCAGCUGGGAAGAGGGCUAAGAGGAGUCUGUCAAAAGUUUGGUCAAGGAGCAAGCCUUUAAAAAAAAAAAAAAAAAA
RNAcentral lists this long non-coding RNA (4931 nucleotides) under Sus scrofa (pig). Its description in RNAcentral is "lncRNA (ENSSSCG00060027255.1)". Lineage: Eukaryota; Metazoa; Chordata; Mammalia; Artiodactyla; Suidae. The record is from RNAcentral.